This is a long non-coding RNA of Neodiprion virginianus, 1211 nucleotides long. RefSeq lists it as uncharacterized. NCBI's taxonomy places the organism in Eukaryota, Metazoa, Arthropoda, Insecta, Hymenoptera, Diprionidae. The record is from RefSeq and is a predicted model, not a curated record. The transcript is spliced from 3 exons.
GUCCUUCCCGCCUCGCCCACUGCCAGCGAUGUACAGGAUGUCGCAACUCCAGGGAGCUUGUCAUCUAAAAUAGGAAAAUUAAGCUAAUUUAAAAACAAAAAUGUCUGGCAGUGAUACAAAUCGUACAUGAAUUGUGUGCGUAGCUGUGCAACGAAAUAGCUAGAACAAUGUUUACCUUGAACACCUGCUUGCUGAAGAAGAGCGACAGCUUCGGCGUACGAAGGAGGCGGCAGCUCACUUGGUCCUUGACUCUGGGUGAUGACCUCGUACGGGGGCGGGCCAGGGGUUCCUGUGCCGGACCCAUUCACCGCCUGAGCGCCGGCCAGUUCCUGUAAAUGCUGAAGCUGACCAAUUUAUAAUUUACACGGAAUUUAUCGCAUAAUGCGGACGAUAAUGCAGGGAAGAGAAAAAAAAACAUGCAAGAGGAAAACUACGUUUCUGACUAAUUAGUUUCCUUAACUUACAAUGACUAUUCACAGUUUUAUUUGUAUUACUUUUGCCCAGUAAAUUUUUAAAGAAAUUCUUUCUCACACUGAAUAUCACAACACAUUUAAACGAUAUCUGAAAGUAACGAUAUACCGAGACAAUCAAGAAAAAACUGGAAUGAAAAAAUAUGGAAUACAUUUUGAAAAAAAAUUUUUUUUCGCUUUUACCAGCAGAAAAUUCGCCACCUUUUACUUCUCUCUUUUCCCCUUAUUCUCUUUCUACUUCUGCCGCUGUGGCUGCUGUUACUUCUUUUUAUAUUUAACCGAGACAAAUAUUUUUCACAUGACAACGCCAGAAUGUAAACAUACCUAGUUAGUUGUUUGGUCAAAUUUAGUCAAGUGAACUUAACGCAAAUUUCCGUACUCUUUUCUUCAGGGAAUUUAAAAUUAAAGAUGAUUUAAAUUUUCCAUAUAAUCUACUGCUACUGCUAUUCCUGAAUUCGAUACCUUUCAGCAUGGCUGUUCGUUUGCUUCUUUGUUAAAUAAAAAGAAAAAAAAAGAAAAGAAAAAUUCACAGAUGACUUCCCGCAUACCGGUGACAAUAACAACAAUUCACUGUGUGACCAUGAAACAUAUUCAUGAUUUAUCGGUCUCUCUUGUUAUUCUCGCUUCAUCUCUCUCACCGCUACUUUUACAUUGCAUUUUUAAACGGCUCCUAACUUUGACUGUCUGUGCAAUUGGAAAUACACGAAUGCAACUAAUUCAUUAUAUGUGACCCACUCUUGC